GCCCUCGUAGCUCAAUGGUAGAGCGCGUCACUAGUAGUGAUAAUGACGAGGUUGCCGGUUCGAUUCCGUCCGAGGGCA
Molecule: non-coding RNA, 78 nt
Organism: Blumeria graminis
Lineage: Eukaryota; Fungi; Ascomycota; Leotiomycetes; Helotiales; Erysiphaceae
Source: Rfam